RNAcentral lists this long non-coding RNA (275 nucleotides) under Brassica napus (rape). Its description in RNAcentral is "long non-coding RNA (BNAP_LNC024236)". Lineage: Eukaryota; Viridiplantae; Streptophyta; Magnoliopsida; Brassicales; Brassicaceae. The record is from RNAcentral.
GUGUCCAUUUCUCCUGAUCUUUGGCUUUCUGGAAAGCUGAAAGAAUGCUCUUGAAUUUGAUGACGGGAUUUACUUCAGGCCGCUCCUUACUUGAGCUUAAAUCUCCUUCUAAAGUCGGAUACUCGCAGAUGGACAGGCUGAGAAACCUCUGAGUUGUAAAAUUCAUAACGUCUUGCUCCGUGAAUAUUUUGGCCCAAUUCCAAUUGGCCUGGACUCCUUCUUGAGUGUAGAAUCCAUAAAAAUUAGCCUCGUGAUUUAAACCCUCCUGGUUUGUA